Molecule: long non-coding RNA, 99 nt
Organism: Thalassophryne amazonica
Lineage: Eukaryota; Metazoa; Chordata; Actinopteri; Batrachoidiformes; Batrachoididae
Exons: 3
Source: RefSeq, a predicted model, not a curated record
ACAACAAACCUAAAUGGUCCUGACUCACAUUAUCACUAACUACUGUAUUCAUAUCCUUAUGUUUGUGCUUCAUGUACACUAACUGUGUUUUUUCCUUCC